RNAcentral lists this ribosomal RNA (396 nucleotides) under Triticum aestivum (bread wheat). Its description in RNAcentral is "partial small subunit ribosomal RNA". The record is from RNAcentral. Lineage: Eukaryota; Viridiplantae; Streptophyta; Magnoliopsida; Poales; Poaceae.
AUUAGGCGAUUUUGGUGGGGAAGCAAGGAGGGUAAGCGUAAACUGGCUUGGCUCUAAUGGGACACAAUGACACAAUCAAAAUAUACGGGUGGUCUUGGCUUAGAUUUUGAGAUUUUUAAUCUUGCUCUGCUUGCACGUCAAACAUGGAGAAUUUUGCACGCUCCAGAUUCUCUUAUUUCUUGUAUUGUAAAGGUUGUCUAUUUCCUAUCGUGCUAAAUACUCGGUGCUCAGCUCGGGUUACACCCAACAUGGAUUUGGAGAGAAAUAAUUGAAGGUCGUGUUGUUUUGUGUCAAGGAUUGAUCAAGAGGAUUUGUGAUGCCUCGAGAACUCAUAUUUGGAACCAUAACUGGCUACCUAGGGAUGAACUAAUGAGGACCUUCUUAUCUCAUAUUUAG